GACGAACGCUGGCGGCGUGCCUAAUACAUGCAAGUAGAACGCUGAAGGAGGAGCUUGCUUCUCCGGAUGAGUUGCGAACGGGUGAGUAACGCGUAGGUAACCUGCCUGGUAGCGGGGGAUAACUAUUGGAAACGAUAGCUAAUACCGCAUAAGAGUAGAUGUCGCAUGACAUUUGCUUAAAAGGUGCAAUUGCAUCACUACCAGAUGGACCUGCGUUGUAUUAGCUAGUUGGUGAGGUAACGGCUCACCAAGGCAACGAUACAUAGCCGACCUGAGAGGGUGAUCGGCCACACUGGGACUGAGACACGGCCCAGACUCCUACGGGAGGCAGCAGUAGGGAAUCUUCGGCAAUGGACGGAAGUCUGACCGAGCAACGCCGCGUGAGUGAAAGAAGGGUUUUUCGGGAUCGUAAAAGCUUCUGUUGUAAAG
This 429-nucleotide ribosomal RNA is filed under the name Streptococcus mitis. Its description in RNAcentral is "bacterial SSU rRNA". It matches the Rfam family "Bacterial small subunit ribosomal RNA", at positions 28 to 443 of the family's 1533-position model. The record is from RNAcentral. Lineage: Bacteria; Bacillati; Bacillota; Bacilli; Lactobacillales; Streptococcaceae.